This is a long non-coding RNA of Ahaetulla prasina, 1153 nucleotides long. RefSeq lists it as uncharacterized. The transcript is spliced from 4 exons. Lineage: Eukaryota; Metazoa; Chordata; Lepidosauria; Squamata; Colubridae. The record is from RefSeq and is a predicted model, not a curated record.
UCGACCCUGUUGAAUCACAACUGGCAACAGCCUGGAUGCAAACUACAUCAGAAGGAAGAGGCUGCCAUGACUAGAACAUUCACUUCGGAAAAAUAAAACUGCAGCUCUCGCUGGUGAUGAAAACAAGGAAAAUGAAAACAAGGAAACCAGACACCUCACUACCCAUCUCUUGGGGCAAAAUCUACAAAUCCAGAUGAAGGAGUUGCUCAGAACCAAUACAGUACAGCUACAAAUGUAGACAGAAACCUGAUCAUGCCACCUCCCCGAAUCACCUUUAUUCCUCAGGAAGUUUCAGUUCUCCUAAGCUGAAUGUCAAAAAGUCAAAGGGCACAUUGAAGAGGAAAUGGGAAAACAUUGCACAUCAAUUCUUACCUAAAAUCAAUGCAGACUGAAAAACAUCAAAAGGAAGCGAACUGACCUCUUGCUGGACUAAAUACAACCACAAAAUGCUAUUUUUUGUUAAAAUGAUUCUAAGUGGGUUGUGUUUUUUUUAACUUCGUCUCUCAAAGAAGGGGGAAAAUAAUCACAACUGCACCCUUCCUUAAAAGGUGGUUGUACUUAAAAAAAAUUGAAAUCCCCUAUAAAAAGGAUUUUGAUCACUUACAAACAUCAAAAUCCUAAACUUUAUCCCCUUUUCUUGCUCUGUUAUGUCCUUGAAUAAAUCAUAACAAAACCCCAGCUUUAUCCCUUAAGCAGUAAAAGUGAAUAACCUUGGGUGUCAGUUAUGAAAUAAAGUAGGAGGAAGGUUAAAGGAAUUAAAUUAUAAGGGGCGUGCAUAAGAGCACAAAAGUGCCUACCAUUCCUGUCCUAUUGUUUCCUUUCAUUAUAUCAAAUUAAUAUAGUUAUUGCAUACUUUUGCUCAUAUAUAUGCUUAUAUGAUAUGUAGUUAUUUUAUGUUGAUGCUUGUGUAUAUUGUUGUGACAAAAUAAAAAAAAAGAAUUAGAAAACACCAAAAAUGCUUUUGAAUGAUUGAUGUUUUUAUUUUAAAAAGGGAAGCUCUAUUUCUGAGUUCUGUUUUCAUCUGUUACGUAACACUCAAGUCAAAUGAAAAAUUGCAAUGCAGGACGGAAGAGAAAUGGAGGAAGUUAGGCAGGCAAAGAUUGUUUUGAAAACUGCUUCAUCUUGACUCUCUCACAUGUCAUUCAUAGGGCCU